Molecule: RNA transcript, 958 nt
Organism: Panicum virgatum (switchgrass)
Lineage: Eukaryota; Viridiplantae; Streptophyta; Magnoliopsida; Poales; Poaceae
Gene name: protein phosphatase 1 regulatory subunit INH3-like
Exons: 2
Source: RefSeq, a predicted model, not a curated record
GCCAUUACAAUUAUUACAAGGCCGACCUCAAAACGAAGGAAUUAGGGGCGAACGCCAACACGCAAUAGCGGUGGAAAAUCCCCAAUUCCCAUGGCGACUCGCGCACCGCCGCAGCACUCGUCGUCAGCCGGAUCCGUGACCGUGACCGUUGACCCCUCCCCCUCUUCGUCCUCCUCGGCCCCGCCCCCGGCGACGGCCGCGCCGCAGCCGGCGGAGGCGGUGGUGCUGCGGCUGAAGCGGCGGGGCAAGAAGAAGGUGUCGUGGAAGGAGGGGACGGUGGACAACGAGGGCCUCGGCCGCAAGAGCUCCAAGAAGUGCUGCAUCUUCCACAAGGAGGUCCCCUUCGACGAGGACUGCAGCGACGACGAGGGCCCCGGCGGCGGGCACCGGUGCCCGCGGGGAGAUGCUGGCGAGGGCACCAACGGCAGCGGCGGAUGCCCGUCGUCCUCCCACGACCACAGCCAUCACCACCACUGAUCUCGGUGCGGAUUGGGGCUUCAUCAUCCCUCGAUGCUUAUAUUCAAUCUGCUGUGAUGAAUUUUGUGAUCUGAUGAUGCAGCUUUGAUGGGCCUCUUCGUCAAUACCUGAAGUAAUUGGUUAUCCUGCCAAGGAAACUGAUGCUUCUUUAUGCCGGCUUUUAGUGAAAAGUUACUGUACUUUUAUGCUGAUGCUAAGCUAGUAUUACCUCAUAUCGGAACUUGCAAGAGACAACCAUUGGGCCAGGCAUUGUUAGGCUGCAGCUUCUAUGAUUGAUGUAUUGUUCUGGCGUCCAAAUAUAUAUUUUGAGAUGAAAUCUUUUUCCUGUUAUUAUUGUCAUAGUUUAAUUGUCUCAAUGUUACUAAAUCUGUUCUUCUAGGCGAUUCACUGGUCAAUAUAUGAUCCUUGUCGACUUCAUUGUAUUUGCCUCUUAUAUUGUAGCAGUUUGCUGUUUGUUAAUGAUGAACUGAGGCUGCUCUUA